UACGUAGGUGGCAAGCGUUGUCCGGAUUUACUGGGCGUAAAGGGAGCGUAGGCGGAUACUUAAGUGGGAUGUGAAAUACCUGGGCUUAACUUGGGUGCUGCAUUCCAAACUGGGUGUCUAGAGUGUUGGAGAGGAAAGUGGAAUUCCUAGUGUAGCGGUGAAAUGCGUAGAGAUUAGGAAGAACACCAGUGGCGAAGGCGACUUUCUGGACAAUAACUGACGCUGAGGCUCGAAAGCGUGGGGAGCAAACAGGAUUAGAUACCCUGGUAGUCCACGCCGUAAACGAUGGGUACUAGGUGUAGGAGGUAUAGACUACUCCGGUGCCGCCGUUAACACAAUAAGUAACCCGCCUGGGGAGUACGGUCGCAAGAUUAAA
This 376-nucleotide ribosomal RNA is filed under the name uncultured bacterium. Its description in RNAcentral is "bacterial SSU rRNA". It matches the Rfam family "Bacterial small subunit ribosomal RNA", at positions 524 to 898 of the family's 1533-position model. The record is from RNAcentral.